GGCUCUUUGGCAAUGUGGUCAGUGCACACAACUCUUAUCCGGGAGUCUGGGGUUCAAUUCCCCGCCCGGGUCC
Molecule: non-coding RNA, 73 nt
Organism: Gymnothorax javanicus (giant moray)
Lineage: Eukaryota; Metazoa; Chordata; Actinopteri; Anguilliformes; Muraenidae
Source: the annotation of a GenBank genome assembly